Molecule: long non-coding RNA, 744 nt
Organism: Cimex lectularius (bed bug)
Lineage: Eukaryota; Metazoa; Arthropoda; Insecta; Hemiptera; Cimicidae
Exons: 3
Source: RefSeq, a predicted model, not a curated record
UGAACAUUCCGUAAAUUUUUGUGCUAUUAUUUUUAGAAGAAAGAAGAAAAGAAUGUAAUAUUUUUUAUUUACUUGGAAGUGUCCUUGAAUCACCGGCCGUUUCCCGCCAUUUCCAUGGACGAUUCAGGCUACAAUUGACGGUCGAGGCUGUUCUUUUUCACGAUGGUGUUGUGCCAUUUUUGUAUCUUUUUCCUACAUUUUCACAAAGGGCUAUUAGUGCAUUAAGUUGUUUCGUGAGUGUUGAACAGUGUGUAGUUAGCUGGUUCAUUGUAGCUGUUUCAAGGAAAGGAUUGUUGCCUUCAAAGGGAAGGAUUUACAAAUGGUAAAUCAACUCUCUCUGCUGGCAGUCAGGUUAGUGAGCAUGUUAGAAUUAAUAUUUUAUUAUUGCCCCAGCAGCCAAUAUAACCCUCUCUGUUUAAUACUAUCUGUCCUAUCUGCAAAUUUUAAUACAGGUAGUGUUUCAAAAGUAAAACCUAUUACCUAUUACAGCACCUUCUUAGAAGGGUUAGAAUUUAAAGUUCGGGUUUUCCCAACUAGAUAAAGUUUUCAUUUUUUGUAGUGAACUUCUUUAAUACAAACGGUUUCGUGGCCUCCUGUUUUGCGAGAAGCCUAGAUGGCAGGCACAGAUUGACACCUCUUUCUGUCGAAAUUUGUAGGUCACUUUAGGUCACUGUACAAUUAAUACAAUUUUUUGUAUUAUCUCGUAAAUAAGUUUUGUAUGUAAAUUACAUUUAAUUUAUUGUA